GAUGAACGCUGACAGAAUGCUUAACACAUGCAAGUCUACUUGAUCCUUCGGGUGAUGGUGGCGGACGGGUGAGUAACGCGUAAAGAACUUGCCCUGCAGUCUGGGACAACAUUUGGAAACGAAUGCUAAUACCGGAUAUUAUGUGAGUUUCGCAUGAAAUUCAUAUGAAAGCUAUAUGCGCAGCAGGAGAGCUUUGCGUCCUAUUAGCUAGUUGGUGAGGUAACGGCUCACCAAGGCGAUGAUAGGUAGCCGGCCUGAGAGGGUGAACGGCCACAAGGGGACUGAGACACGGCCCUUACUCCUACGGGAGGCAGCAGUGGGGAAUAUUGGACAAUGGACCAAAAGUCUGAUCCAGCAAUUCUGUGUGCACGAUGAAGUUUUUCGGAAUGUAAAGUGCUUUCAGUUGGGACGAAAUAAGUGACGGUACCAACAGAAGAAGCGACGGCUAAAUACGUGCCAGCAGCCGCGGUAAUACGUAUGUCGCAAGCGUUAUCCGGAUUUAUUGGGCGUAAAGCGCGUCUAGGCGGUUUGGUAAGUCUGAUGUGAAAAUGCGGGGCUCAACUCCGUAUUGCGUUGGAAACUGCCAAACUAGAGUACCGGAGAGGUGGGCGGAACUACAAGUGUAGAGGUGAAAUUCGUAGAUAUUUGUAGGAAUGCCGAUGGGGAAGCCAGCCCACUGGACAGAUACUGACGCUAAAGCGCGAAAGGGUGGGUAGCAAACAGG
This 724-nucleotide ribosomal RNA is filed under the name uncultured bacterium. RNAcentral's name for it is "bacterial SSU rRNA". It matches the Rfam family "Bacterial small subunit ribosomal RNA", at positions 28 to 776 of the family's 1533-position model. The record is from RNAcentral.